GACAGGCCUGUGAUUGGACAGGAAUAUAGAGAUAGAGCUAGAAGUUUAGGAGUGAGAGAGGUCAGAGAGCAGGAGAAGGGAAGCAGGAGAAAUCAUCAUGGAGGUGGAUGAACAGGAGGACGAUCCAGACCCCGAGUGGUUUUAAACAGCAGCAAGUAGUUAAGCUGCUUCUCCACAUGUUCCUUCCAAGAACCUAUGGCCCUCAUUAUACAUGUUGAAAGUCCCUGGCUUAGGGCAGAGAACUUCAUUCCUUGCUUGGACUGAGGGCCACCUCUUGAGGCAUCACAACAUUGUGGAAUAGCUACAGGACCUACCAAAUUAGGGAAUGGGAACAUCUAUAGAACUGCACUCACAACAGUUUCACUUCUGUCACACGAGGACCGUUGUGUUCCCUACAAGAGACUCCUUCUUCUGCAAUAACCACCAAGAUGACAGAUCUCAGGUGGCAAUAUGAGCUGUCUGGGUUGAGUGGCGUCUAUUAGUUUUAUGACCAUGGGUUCAGAAUGGCCUUGUGGUGUCCACAGCCCAUCUUAAUGAAGAUGGGUAAGACAGCUGCCGAGGAAAUAAAAUCUCUUUGCUCCUUUCCGUUCCAUCUGAAAGUCCAUCAAACUUUCAUCUUCUGCAUCAAAACAGCUGCUGGGCCAAACACUCAGCCACAGUGAAUCAUAGCUCGUGGGCACACUGCUGUCUUUGAGAGGAGCAAAGGCAAGUGGGAACUUUCCUAGAUAGUGGAACACAGGGUUCUUGGUGCCCUUUCUACAUCAUUCUCUUGGAAGGAAGGCACCCAAAGCCAUCAUGUAGCAGUCCUCGUCCAGUGGAAAAUAACAGGUCAGAUGAGGGCAUCUAAGACCCCCUUGUUAAUGGCCAGAUCACACCAUAAGUGAGACCAUCUUAUAUUGUUAGCCUGAGUCUGUCAGUUACUUGGAGCUACAUGAGGAUCUCAUAUGAAGCCAUUAGAAUUGCCAGCCACAUCAAACCCAAAUUGUUGAGUCACAGAAACAUAAGCUACUAACACAGCUGUGGGAAACACUAAUUUGUAAUGUGGUUUGUAAUACAGCAACAACUAACCGAACUGCAUAUUUCAUGUGGUCUUCUCUCUCCAAUGCCUGCUAGAAGAUAUGUUGCACAGUCAUUAAGACAAAUUCAACUUUUUGCUCCAGCACAUUUGAGCCUUGGUGUCUUUCAGAAAGAAUAUGCCAAGGAGAUCAGAGGAGCUAACAAGGGCAAUACAUAAGCAUAGUACUUGUGAGGAAGUCAUCAUUCAUCUGAUAAUGUCUCACCUCAUUAUAGUUAUCUGAAUAAUUAUAGCCUGCUAGAUCAAAGGCAGGAACUUCACUGAUCAAUACAUAGUGCAGUGUUUUAUAUGGUUGGUAUUCAAUAUACACAUCCUGGACAAAUGCCCAAUUCCUCAAGAGCCAGUGUGGCUCCAUGCUACCAUAUUUACUGACUGUUCCAGAAGUGAUGUACUAAGAAGACUAAGGGAAAGCAUACUUCAGUUACUUUCCCUGGGUCCCUAUGCUCCUUGACACCACUGGCAUUUCCAAGGCUAAAUUUUCUAUGGCCCUCAGGAUUCCUUCCAGACUUGCGAUCCAUUUAGUAAAAUCACAAUACUAAUUAGAAUUGGUAUUUUUUGAAAUUCUUAUUACUGUUUCAGCCUCUGUACUAAACUGCCUGUGUAAACAAUCUGAUCACAAAAGCCUUGUCAGGAAGAUUAUAUUACAGCCACAGGAAUCGGGAGUCUCCAGUAGUUCACAGGGGUUGGUGAAUUUGGCCCCCUUAGUGGUUACUGUAUUGCCUGUGGCUGUGUCUGCACUUUAGUGGCAGAGCUGAGCAAUUCUUAUGAAAACCAGAGCCAGAUAGACUUACUAGCUGACACCUCAAAAAGAAAAUCUCAUUACACCCUGGUCUCAAGUGAUAAGCUAAGAAGAGAAUAAUUAGUCACGCCCAUUUUUGAGCUCCCCCCCGCCCCCAGACUCUGGGUCUCCUCCUUGAUUCACUUUCUUCAUCAUCAACUCAACUACACCUUUUGUAACUAAGAGUUAAUGACAAGCAAAUAUGUUUGGAGGAAUACUUCAGAGCCUUCUGCAAAUGCAACCGAGAGACUGUCAGCAGCUGAACCACACAUCUCUGUUCACACAUCUAGUGAUGAACAUGUAAUUAUCUGCUCCACUGUAGCUCUAGGCCAGGGGCUACAUUGUUCACUAAUUGAAAAGAAUAAGGAAAGAAAAGAUUUGCUCUCAAUACAAACUUAAAUGGCUGGAAUUACAUCUUUAUUAUCUGAAGUGGGCACUUGCAACUUGUUUAUCAUCACCUGUCCCGGCAUCAGGAAGAAAUAACAUAGAAAUUAGCCUCUGGCUGGUCAUCUCAUUAUAGUCCAGUUAUAGCCCAUUUUUAGAAAGUCCGUUGGAUACAAAAUCAUCCUGCCAAUAUAAAUGCAUAUGAGAUUUACUACACAUACUGCAAAGUUACCUAUUCUUCACAAGUACAGCCUUCCACACUGAGAGAUACUGGACUUAAAUAAAAAGAAUCCAUUAAAAAUGCAUAGCAAUGAAGACAAACAUCUCUGAACUCAGAAACUACAUUGUCUGCAAAACGUAAUUGAAUUUACAAAGAGACGCGAUAAUUUAAUGGCUGUCUUUACAAAAAUAAUUCUAUUCUCUGAAGGGUCAUGAUGUAGAAACAGAGAAUUAUACUUGUGAAUCCCUGUAGCCAGGACAGGAAUUGUAUUUGUUUUUCUCUUUGUCACUUUUUAUGAUCCCAAUCAGUACUAAAAAUGGUCCCCUGCCUGUU
Molecule: long non-coding RNA, 2790 nt
Organism: Mastomys coucha (southern multimammate mouse)
Lineage: Eukaryota; Metazoa; Chordata; Mammalia; Rodentia; Muridae
Exons: 6
Source: RefSeq, a predicted model, not a curated record